GAGCUAGGAAAGAGAUACACAAUACAUUUACCCUCCAUCGACAAUGACGGUGAUGUAGUGCGUUGUCUCCGGGCUCGUUAUAUCGAGGCUUUAGGCUUUGGACGGCUUUUAAUCGAUUUAGAAACAAGGAAAUUCUUAGCUAUUGAUCGAAUGAAAUGUGUCAUGGAAAUUGAAGCAGACCCAGGAUAUUUCAAGGAAGGCGAUACGUUUGGAGUACCAGUAACUGUGAAAGACUACAGCAAAACGAUCAUGUCAACGCAAAGCAAAACAUUUCUGCCGUACAUUAACGUCAUUGGAAGAGUUGUAACUUUAAUGUUUUUUUAAAAUAACUGGGAGGACAGACCCACCUGAGUUUAUUCCACCGACUCCUAUGAACAACAUGCAGUAUACGAUUUACGUGGGUGGGGAUUUUAAUGUAAAGGUGUAUGCAAAAGCCUCGAUUGGCAGAAAAGUGGCAAGAUUUGAUAUUCUAAGAGUAGAUGGGAAACUAGCUCACCAU
Saccostrea cuccullata (small rock oyster) is the source of this 499-nucleotide long non-coding RNA. RefSeq lists it as uncharacterized. The transcript is spliced from 4 exons. NCBI's taxonomy places the organism in Eukaryota, Metazoa, Mollusca, Bivalvia, Ostreida, Ostreidae. The record is from RefSeq and is a predicted model, not a curated record.